RNAcentral lists this ribosomal RNA (471 nucleotides) under uncultured bacterium. RNAcentral's name for it is "bacterial SSU rRNA". It matches the Rfam family "Bacterial small subunit ribosomal RNA", at positions 28 to 507 of the family's 1533-position model. The record is from RNAcentral.
AACGAACGUUGGCGGCGUGGAUUAGGCAUGCAAGUCGAGCGGAAAGGCCCCUUCGGGGGUACUCGAGCGGCGAAAGGGUGAGGUAAUGCGUGGGUACCUACCCCAAGGUCCGGGAUAGCCGCGGGAAACUGCGGGUAAUACCGGAUGAUAUCCUUCGGGAUCAAAGGUGUGAUUCCGCCCUGGGAGGGGCCCGCGUCCUACUAGCUUGUUGGUGAGGUAACGGCUCACCAAGGUGAUGAUGGGUAGCGGGCGUGAGAGCGUGGCCCGCCACACUGGGACUGAGACACUGCCCAGACUCCUACGGGAGGCUGCAGUCGAGAAUAUUCGGCAAUGGGCGCAAGCCUGACCGAGCGACGCCGCGUGCGGGAUGAAGGCCUUCGGGUUGUAAACCGCUGUCAGAGGGGCUGAAGUACCGGGGGGCUAUCCCCCUGGAUUGACAUAGCCUCAGAGGAAGCACGGGCUAAGUUCGUG